This 435-nucleotide ribosomal RNA is filed under the name uncultured bacterium. Its description in RNAcentral is "bacterial SSU rRNA". It matches the Rfam family "Bacterial small subunit ribosomal RNA", at positions 43 to 524 of the family's 1533-position model. The record is from RNAcentral.
CAGGCCUAACACAUGCAAGUCGAACGAAGGCUUCGGCCUUAGUGGCGCACGGGUGCGUAACGCGUGGGAAUCUGCCCCUUGGUUCGGAAUAACAGCUAGAAAUGACUGCUAAUACCGGAUGAUGACGUAAGUCCAAAGAUUUAUCGCCGAGGGAUGAGCCCGCGUAGGAUUAGCUAGUUGGUGUGGUAAAAGCGCACCAAGGCGACGAUCCUUAGCUGGUCUGAGAGGAUGAUCAGCCACACUGGGACUGAGACACGGCCCAGACUCCUACGGGAGGCAGCAGUGGGGAAUAUUGGACAAUGGGCGAAAGCCUGAUCCAGCAAUGCCGCGUGAGUGAUGAAGGCCUUAGGGUUGUAAAGCUCUUUUACCCGGGAUGAUAAUGACAGUACCGGGAGAAUAAGCCCCGGCUAACUCCGUGCCAGCAGCCGCGGUAAU